UGGCUUAUUUAGAUCUGGAGUACAAUUGUGUAUAAAAGUCCGCCCUCAAGAAGGCCUUAUUCCGACCUUUGCAAGGCAGCGAACAAUCAAAGCAAGCUCUAGUUUUAGGAUCACAGGUGAAGGAUGAGGAAACUUUCGCUUGUUCUUCUCAUCGUGCCGGCUAUAACGGCCAUUGCGUGGGCCGAGCCUUGUGAUAUCGACAAUAUCAAAUAUGAGGUCAGAGAAAUAGAAGAUGAUGAUAAAGAAGGGUUUGUUGACGAAGCCGAACCCGAAGAACCCACGGCCAGAGAUGAAGAUAAAGAUCAUGACCCUAUUGCCCUUGAUGACGACAUUCAAAACAGUCCGUAUCUGAGAUCUAGUAAUCGUCGUCGUCGUUCUGGUCGUUAGGAUCGUCUUUUUUUGUUGAUGUUCAUGCAACUGUUAUCACCUGAUAUAUAUCCGUCCAUUAUAUAUUCUCAUAAAACGUAGCUAUGUAUGAGUUUAUGUAAAACCAAUUUCACAUAUAAAAGUGCAAUAUUAAAAUCUGCUUCUCUAGCAAAAAUAAAAAAAAAACUAUACCCUGCUA
Nematostella vectensis (starlet sea anemone) is the source of this 565-nucleotide long non-coding RNA. RefSeq lists it as uncharacterized. The transcript is spliced from 3 exons. The record is from RefSeq and is a predicted model, not a curated record. NCBI's taxonomy places the organism in Eukaryota, Metazoa, Cnidaria, Anthozoa, Actiniaria, Edwardsiidae.